This 74-nucleotide transfer RNA is filed under the name Trichonephila inaurata madagascariensis. RNAcentral describes it as "tRNA-Ile". The record is from RNAcentral. Lineage: Eukaryota; Metazoa; Arthropoda; Arachnida; Araneae; Nephilidae.
UCCCCAGUGGCGCAACUGGUUCGCGCGCGGUACUUAUAAUGCCGAUUUUGUGACUUCGAUACUCACCUGGGGAA